UGAUCCAGGAUUGGCCUGUGUCUGGCCC
RNAcentral lists this non-coding RNA (28 nucleotides) under Homo sapiens (human). Lineage: Eukaryota; Metazoa; Chordata; Mammalia; Primates; Hominidae. The record is from RNAcentral.